CAUUCUUGGCUGGGGUUUUUUCUCCCUGUGACUCAAUGCAUGCCAUUGACUCAAUGGGUGGCAGAACCAGGGGGACAAGGGUUUACUGGGAAGGCAAAUACAUUGGUUGAAUAUCUCACAAAUGUUAUCUCCAUUACAUCAGCAUAAGGAUUUCAGUGCAGGAUGAGGGGAGCCAAAGUCAGUGUGGUAAAUGUUACUUUGUUUUCACCUUGUGACAUGGGUAUACCCACUUCAUGUGAAAACUCAUGCCUCAAAGUGAACAUGAUUAAAACUGAACUAUUGAUUCCACCACUAUCCACCCAAUUAGUCAGGUGCAAACCUGAGUCGUUAUGGAUUCUUCUCUUUUCUUCACACCCCACAUUUAAUCUGUCUGCUAUUCAGGGCCACUAAAGGGAAGGGGAGACUUUUUCUAAUUUUCCCAACAGUGCUGUACAGGCCAGCAGUGGCCUCGUUGCUGAAAUCCUAGGCCAAGCCACCAGCAUGUGUCACUGGACUUCUGCCACUGUCUCCUCCCUGAUCUCCCCACUUCUGUGUUUGACCUCCUACAAUCCAUUCUCCACAAAGCAGUCAGACUCAUCUUCUUAAAAUAUAAAUUAGAUCAUAUCACUUCCCAGCUUCCCUGUUUUCAACCUUCCAGUAGCUUCCCAUCAUUCUUUGACCAUCAUUCUUUCCCAUCUCUGCCUCCCUCUUCCACCUCAUCUCCUCAUCUCCUUCCAAGACUUUCCUCUUACUCUGCUCCAGCCAUACAUGCAUCUUUCUGCCUUCAAAUACACCAGGUUCAUUUCUAUCCCCAGGUGCUUUGCACUUACUGUUUCUUUGCUAGGAGAGCUCUUCCCUAGAUUGUCACACUGCUGCCUCCUUUUUAGCCUUCAGGUCUCAAUUCAGAUGUCACCAAGUAGCCACACCACACCCCAGGUACAAUUUGCCAUAUUAUCCUAUUUUAUCUUCUUCAUAGCCCUGAGUUCCUGAAAUUGUUUUAUUUAUUUGUUUGUUUACAUGUUAUUACCUGUCUCCCCCUCACUCAGAAUGCAACCACCCUGGACAGAGACUGUAUUUUUUGCAUUAAACAGUUCCUGGCACAUAGUAAAUACUCAGUAAAUAUUUGUGGACCGAAAUCAACUAAUUCCAACCAGAGGGGAAAAGGAGUCAGAGAAUAUUUUUUUAAUUCCAUAAGCACUGGUGGAUAACUUUUUAUUAGUUACCAUUUAGAAGAAAUCAGCCAAUUCUACUAGUUUCUAUGUAAGGGAAUCAUGAGAUUAAUGUGGCUUUCUAGUGAGAAACUUGGCUGCAAGAUAGAACUAGCAUCUAUAUUUAUGCCACAGAAAAGCAGCUUUUUCAAAUAAUCAAGACAGAUCAAGGUAUAAAUUUUUAGCCUUAUUUGCCAGGUACCAAAUUGGAAUGAUUGCAUAUGUGUUGCUGUAUGCUUAACUUGCUGUAGAUCGCCUGCUAUUUUGGGGUCCCUUGAUUGCUAAACGUUGUUUACUUGAUUUCUUUCAUUUUAAGUAUAGCUGAAAAGGCAGGGCUGAUGAGAGGCAAAUGUAAAAAGAAAGCCAACGUCAAUGAUUUUUCAGGCACGCUAUAAAACAAUUGCCAACAAUCUUCAGGUAUUUCUUGUACUUUCAAAACUGAAAACUAAGCUCUCCUUGAUAUGUGCUAAAAAUAUUUGAAUAACUGAUAUACCAGAAAAUCCUGAACAGCUACAUAAUCACUGAAGCAAGAACAUUAAAACUCUGCUCUGGGUGACAUGUUUUAGAACAAAGAUGCAGGAAAAUUAGGCCUCAUUUUGGUCAGAGUAGAUGAAGUCAAACAAACUUCCCCAUUCUUGGUGUCACAGAAUCUGAAAUUUCUACCAUCAGAGCUUCAUUUUUUAUCCUGGAGUUCUCUUUUAAAAUGCAUAUAUUCCUAGAAAUAUAUUAGACAAAUUCAUGAAGAUAUUGAAACUAAUUGAUCCAUGUUCCUCCCAGUGGGAGAGAUUACCAGUAAGAGAGCCCUGAAAGAGAGAGAAAGAUGCAUCGGGGAGACUAGAAGCACCAACUCUGGCUUUUCUGAACCUAGUCUGGACCCAAUACAGUAGGUAGAUGUUGAACAACUUUGCAUAAUAAUAUUGAGGGGCAAAUGAUUUAAGAGUGAAUUUUGUGAUAUGAGUUCCUUAAUCUGAGAAAAUGGAUUUUUUGAACUUUGUGUUGCUAUGCAAUAUGAAUUUUGAUGGAUUUUUUCCAGUUAGGGUCCCAAAGGGAAACAGAUGGCACACUUAAAUUAGGACAACUUGAAGAGAGUUUCCUUUCAAAGAGACUAUUUACAAAGGGGUUAGUGGGGUGUAAUGGAAACCCAAGGGAUAGUCUAGGAACUAGGGGUUAGAAGCAGCAGUGUGGUUGACACCCUUAGGCCCUAAGGGAGUGAUUAUCAGAACCUGGAAAGGGAGUGUUAUUUGGAGAGACCACCAUAAAAGGAGCAAUGACCUUGACACAGCCAGAGGCAGACUCACUGGGAAAAAGCCAAGGGUUAAAUACCUUGACCUCACUCUUCUCUCUUCCUCUGGUCCUCUGCCAGGGCUCCUUACUGGCCAAACCCAACUGGAAGCUAAAGGGAAAGGGAAUACAUCCAUACCAGGUCAGCUUCUAUGGACAGAGAGGACAGUAGAAAAGGGUGGAGAGUAGAUCUCAGGAGCAAAUGGAAGAUAUCCAGCAUAAUGAUACUUCAUUCACUUGACAGGAAGUUCUGGGGAAGAGCCACCCAAAAUCCCUCCCUCUUCCCACUGCAAGCUUUCAGACUGAAGCCAUCUGGGGCUGGAGAAGAGGAAAGGAUGUGUCUGUAAGAUCAAUGUGGAGUUUUGAUCAAUAUCUUAGACUGGACAUUCCAAUUUCUACAAGUCUGUGUCCAUAACUGAUAUUUGACACUCUAUGACAUCAGAGUGGCCAGAAAAUUUAAGGACCUGCCAGAAUUUUCAUCCUGGUGCAGAAAAAGAUGACCCCUGCACUUUAUAUAUAUGUAAAGAAGGAAUGGGGACAAAAAUAAAUAAAUAAAGUUGAAUUUUGGUCAUGUUAAAGAAUUGUGCUCAUUCAACAUAUGACCUACAUAAUCUUUUCCAACUAUCUCUCUUUACAGGUAAUGAAACUGAAUUCCAGAGAGCGGGAACACAUGCCCUGAUUCAGCAAGCCAUUUCACAUCCAAAUCCAAACUAAAGCCAAACUGUGCUUCAGCUUUAACUGGAUGACAUAAGGCAGCCGUCUGUAGGGCCAUGGACACGAAGCAACUGAGUCCCCAUCUGCAGAGAAGCAGCUAAAUAAUCACUUUGAGUCAGUUGCUGCUGUGAAACCCGAAACCUGAUCAUUGAAGAAGCCUGCAAUAUGGCAGAAAACAAGGCACACCAGGAUCUUCUGCUCCAGCUGCACAUUGAGGAUUCUGGUCUCUUUUUGAAAAUGACCUUACAUUUCUAGUUAGUUUAGUUGCUAUAAUUCUUUCCUUAAACAAGUUUACAAAGUUGUUGUUUUUUAAGGAAUAUUAUACUUACGCACAACUCCAAAGCAGCUCACUAUAGUCUUUUGAUAUAACACUGCUUGACUACAAUUUGUGGGAAAUGACAUAAAGCAGAUUAAAUGAAUUAUCUGGUUAAACCCUUUUA
This is a non-coding RNA of Equus caballus (horse), 3622 nucleotides long. The record is from RefSeq and is a predicted model, not a curated record. Lineage: Eukaryota; Metazoa; Chordata; Mammalia; Perissodactyla; Equidae.